RNAcentral lists this ribosomal RNA (1234 nucleotides) under metagenome. RNAcentral describes it as "bacterial LSU rRNA". It matches the Rfam family "Bacterial large subunit ribosomal RNA", at positions 1564 to 2808 of the family's 2925-position model. The record is from RNAcentral.
UGAGUACGAGACGCUAAGGCGUCGAAGUAGUGUAUGUCAUACUUCCAAGAAAGGCUAGCACUAUCAUAGAUAAAAAACGCCUGUACCAUAACCGACACAGGUGGGUAGGUAGAGUAUACUAAGGGGCGCGAGAUAACUCUCUCUAAGGAACUCGGCAAAAUAACUCCGUAACUUCGGGAGAAGGAGUGCCUUAUUAUUAAGGUUGCAAUAACAAGAUCCAAGCAACUGUUUAUCAAAAACACAGGUCUCCGCUAAGUCGUAAGACGAUGUAUGGGGGCUGACGCCUGCCCAGUGCCAGAAGGUUAAAGAAGUUGGUUAGCAAUUGCGAAGCUGAUAACUGAAGCCCUGGUGAACGGCGGCCGUAACAAUAACGGUCCUAAGGUAGCGAAAUUCCUUGUCGGGUAAGUUCCGACCCGCACGAAAGGCGUAAUGAUUUGGAUACUGUCUCGGAGAGGGGCUCGGUGAAAUAGACUUGUCUGUGAAGAUGCGGACUACCUGCACCAGGACAGAAAGACCCUAUGAAGCUUUACUGUAACUUGAAAUUGAAAUUGGACUUUAUUCGCGCAGUAUAGGUGGGAGGCGUUGAUUAUAAUCUUGCGGGAUUAUUGGAGCCAUCAGUGAGAUACCACUCUUGUAAUGUUAGAUUUCUAACUUUGAAUCAUUAUCUGGUCAAAGGACAGUUUCAGGCGGGCAGUUUGACUGGGGCGGUCGCCUCCUAAACGGUAACGGAGGCGUACAAAGGUUUCCUCUGAACGGUUAGAAAUCGUAUCUAGAGUGUAAAGGCAUAAGGAAGCUUGACUGUGAGACCUACAAGUCGAGCAGGGACGAAAGUCGGUCUUAGUGAUCUGACGGUACUGAGUGGAAAGGCCGUCACUCAACGGAUAAAAGUUACUCUAGGAUAACAGGCUGAUCUCCCCCAAGAGUUCACAUCGACGGGGAGGUUUGGCACCUCGAUGUCGGCUCAUCGCAUCCUGGGGCGGUAGUACGUCCCAAGGGUUGGGCUGUUCGCCCAUGAAAGCGGUACGCGAGCUGGGUUCAGAACGUCGUGAGACAGUUCGGUCCAUAUCCGGUGUAGGCGUUAGAAUAUUGAGAGGAGCCUUCUUUAGUACGAGAGGACCGAGAAGGACAUACCUCUGGUGUACCAGUUAUCGUGCCAACGGUAAACGCUGGGUAGCUAUGUAUGGAGUGGAUAACCGCUGAAAGCAUCUAAGUGGGAAGCCCACCUCAAGAUAAG